GGGGUUGUGGCUUAGUGGUAGAGUGCUUGCUUAGCACGUGAGAGGCCCUGAGAUCAAUCCUCAGCACCACA
RNAcentral lists this transfer RNA (71 nucleotides) under Marmota monax (woodchuck). RNAcentral's name for it is "tRNA.Ala". It matches the Rfam family "tRNA". Rfam says of the family: Transfer RNA (tRNA) molecules are approximately 80 nucleotides in length. Their secondary structure includes four short double-helical elements and three loops (D, anti-codon, and T loops). Further hydrogen bonds mediate the characteristic L-shaped molecular structure. tRNAs have two regions of fundamental functional importance: the anti-codon, which is responsible for specific mRNA codon recognition, and the 3' end, to which the tRNAs corresponding amino acid is attached (by aminoacyl-tRNA synthetases). tRNAs cope with the degeneracy of the genetic code in two manners: having more than one tRNA (with a specific anti-codon) for a particular amino acid; and 'wobble' base-pairing, i.e. permitting non-standard base-pairing at the 3rd anti-codon position. Lineage: Eukaryota; Metazoa; Chordata; Mammalia; Rodentia; Sciuridae. The record is from RNAcentral.